Molecule: ribosomal RNA, 830 nt
Filed under: Bacillus amyloliquefaciens
Lineage: Bacteria; Bacillati; Bacillota; Bacilli; Caryophanales; Bacillaceae
Description: bacterial SSU rRNA
Rfam family: Bacterial small subunit ribosomal RNA
Source: RNAcentral
UAGUGGAUGAAGGUUUUCGGAUCGUAAAGCUCUGUUGUUAGGGAAGAACAAGUGCCGUUCAAAUAGGGCGGCACCUUGACGGUACCUAACCAGAAAGCCACGGCUAACUACGUGCCAGCAGCCGCGGUAAUACGUAGGUGGCAAGCGUUGUCCGGAAUUAUUGGGCGUAAAGGGCUCGCAGGCGGUUUCUUAAGUCUGAUGUGAAAGCCCCCGGCUCAACCGGGGAGGGUCAUUGGAAACUGGGGAACUUGAGUGCAGAAGAGGAGAGUGGAAUUCCACGUGUAGCGGUGAAAUGCGUAGAGAUGUGGAGGAACACCAGUGGCGAAGGCGACUCUCUGGUCUGUAACUGACGCUGAGGAGCGAAAGCGUGGGGAGCGAACAGGAUUAGAUACCCUGGUAGUCCACGCCGUAAACGAUGAGUGCUAAGUGUUAGGGGGUUUCCGCCCCUUAGUGCUGCAGCUAACGCAUUAAGCACUCCGCCUGGGGAGUACGGUCGCAAGACUGAAACUCAAAGGAAUUGACGGGGGCCCGCACAAGCGGUGGAGCAUGUGGUUUAAUUCGAAGCAACGCGAAGAACCUUACCAGGUCUUGACAUCCUCUGACAAUCCUAGAGAUAGGACGUCCCCUUCGGGGGCAGAGUGACAGGUGGUGCAUGGUUGUCGUCAGCUCGUGUCGUGAGAUGUUGGGUUAAGUCCCGCAACGAGCGCAACCCUUGAUCUUAGUUGCCAGCAUUCAGUUGGGCACUCUAAAGGUGACUGCCGGUGACAAACCGGGAGGAAGGGUGGGGGAUGACGUCAAAUCAUCAUGCCCCCUUUAUGACCCUGGGCUAC